This is a long non-coding RNA of Oreochromis aureus, 1482 nucleotides long. Lineage: Eukaryota; Metazoa; Chordata; Actinopteri; Cichliformes; Cichlidae. The record is from Ensembl.
GUAGAUUUGCCACAUUAAUGCGGUUAUGCCCUUAACGUCAUUUUAACGAGAUUAACGCUGAAAGCACUAAAAUAAACGCAUUGCAGAGGAGUCGUGCCCAUCAUGCAGUCUUAUUUAGAUUGCCAACAUGCUGCAAACAAUCUGUCUGCAUUUAUAAAUAAGACAGCAGUUAUUUGCAAAUCUGCUUGAAAAUGACUGCAGUCAGUUAAAAAAGCAUGUUUUAAAAGCUUUGACACACGAAUAUCAUCACAUUUUUUAAACUACACGUUGUCUGGGUGUGCAUACACUUUACGCACAAUUACGAUUUCUGUGUUUUCCAGGUGGCGGCUCCUAGAAACAGCAGCCUGUUUAACAGCCAGAAGGGCGACGGGCCUAUUAUGAUUUAUGAAAAGGGAUGCCUUCCAUACUUCAUCGAGACCAUAAUGAGUGUGAUUAGGACUGUGUUGGGCGUAACAAUGGGAAUCAUGUUAUUGUGGAUAUUGUCAGCAGUAUUGUGUAUAGCCAUCUUGUGCCAGCUCGAUCGGAAGAAAGACACCCCUGCAGUGGUCUACAGUGCAGAGGCAAAAGCAGGCAACUACACCACCCUCACAGAGGUUUCAGACCACUCCUGAUUUCUUUGUUUCUGAUUCAGCGUGUUAAGCAAAGCUAAGGCAAACCUUGGAGGCAAUGGGAUUAAUAGAAGACGUUAUGAUGAUUGGAUAUAUUGACUAUAUUAUACCAUGCAAGUGUAUUUUGAACUUCUUUGUUAAGGGUAUUUUCUAUUCACUAUGUAAUCCCUAAUGAGCUGUACAUUUGGGCUGUGCCACAAAAAACAAAACUGUGAAAGACUAUGUUCCUUUUUUGAUCAAUAUUUCUAUCCAGUAUAACCAAAAGGGAUAUGAUAAGUGACAGAGUGUCUUAACCGCUUUGCGCCUUUGAGCUCUGUGUUUAGAGACUUGUGGUAAUUCUGCCCUGACAUGGAGUGUAAUCUAGUACCUCUGUGAUUUUUAGCACCGGCAAGCAAGAAACUAAGUAAAAAUUCAGAGUUUAAAGCUAAUGUGCUCAGCAAAAAAGCACUUAUGAAUAGUAUGGGUGAAUUAAAGCUUAACUGAUAUUUUGUAGUUUGGUAGCUUUUCAUUUUUCUUUAACUCUGACUCUUUUUUUUUUUUUUUUCAUUCAAAGCUUUUUAAUACUCUCAUAUUUGAUAAGACGGGGGUUUAGUAUAAGGUGCCUUUUUUCAUUGCUCCGUAUCGUUUAGAUCAGCUGCUAAAGAAAAAAAAAAUCCUUCAAUCCACUUUCUUCCUUAGCCUUGCUGUGGCACAUCCCACAUCCUUUAUCCACUGCAUAAAUGAAAGGACAAAAGGAAAAUAUACAGCUUACAGUUUACACCUCUAACUGUCUAAACCACAGUUAAUGUAUCGAUUCUUGUUCCCUAGGUUUGUGGGAACAUUUUAGAAAAAUUCGAAAAUUCAUUGUGUAAUAAAAUGUUUUAUAUUCCCUUCA